This 236-nucleotide long non-coding RNA is filed under the name Actinidia chinensis (golden kiwifruit). Its description in RNAcentral is "long non-coding RNA (ACHI_LNC008700)". The record is from RNAcentral. Lineage: Eukaryota; Viridiplantae; Streptophyta; Magnoliopsida; Ericales; Actinidiaceae.
AGCGAUCGAAGAAGAAGACCCAGCAGCGAUCGAAGAAGAAGAAUCAGAAACUUACCUCUUCUCUUUUUCCCUCUUGCUGCGUCUUUUUCCCUUCUCUUUUUCUAGGGCUCAGUUGUAUCAAUUUAUAUGUAAGUUAUUAAAAUUAUAAAAUAUACCCAAGUAUUUUUAUAAUUACAUUUUAACCCCUGCCGUGUCCCAAAUGUGUCCCCGCCGUGUCUCAGACGUGUCCGCUGCUU